This 825-nucleotide ribosomal RNA is filed under the name Levilactobacillus brevis. RNAcentral describes it as "bacterial SSU rRNA". It matches the Rfam family "Bacterial small subunit ribosomal RNA", at positions 621 to 1446 of the family's 1533-position model. The record is from RNAcentral. Lineage: Bacteria; Bacillati; Bacillota; Bacilli; Lactobacillales; Lactobacillaceae.
GUGCAUCGGAAACUGGGAGACUUGAGUGCAGAAGAGGACAGUGGAACUCCAUGUGUAGCGGUGGAAUGCGUAGAUAUAUGGAAGAACACCAGUGGCGAAGGCGGCUGUCUAGUCUGUAACUGACGCUGAGGCUCGAAAGCAUGGGUAGCGAACAGGAUUAGAUACCCUGGUAGUCCAUGCCGUAAACGAUGAGUGCUAAGUGUUGGAGGGUUUCCGCCCUUCAGUGCUGCAGCUAACGCAUUAAGCACUCCGCCUGGGGAGUACGACCGCAAGGUUGAAACUCAAAGGAAUUGACGGGGGCCCGCACAAGCGGUGGAGCAUGUGGUUUAAUUCGAAGCUACGCGAAGAACCUUACCAGGUCUUGACAUCUUCUGCCAAUCUUAGAGAUAAGACGUUCCCUUCGGGGACAGAAUGACAGGUGGUGCAUGGUUGUCGUCAGCUCGUGUCGUGAGAUGUUGGGUUAAGUCCCGCAACGAGCGCAACCCUUAUUAUCAGUUGCCAGCAUUCAGUUGGGCACUCUGGUGAGACUGCCGGUGACAAACCGGAGGAAGGUGGGGAUGACGUCAAAUCAUCAUGCCCCUUAUGACCUGGGCUACACACGUGCUACAAUGGACGGUACAACGAGUUGCGAAGUCGUGAGGCUAAGCUAAUCUCUUAAAGCCGUUCUCAGUUCGGAUUGUAGGCUGCAACUCGCCUACAUGAAGUUGGAAUCGCUAGUAAUCGCGGAUCAGCAUGCCGCGGUGAAUACGUUCCCGGGCCUUGUACACACCGCCCGUCACACCAUGAGAGUUUGUAACACCCAAAGCCGGUGAGAUAACCUUCGGG